Molecule: transfer RNA, 74 nt
Filed under: Nanobdellota archaeon
Lineage: Archaea; Nanobdellati; Nanobdellota
Also listed under: 1 other name
Description: tRNA-Lys
Rfam family: tRNA
About the family: Transfer RNA (tRNA) molecules are approximately 80 nucleotides in length. Their secondary structure includes four short double-helical elements and three loops (D, anti-codon, and T loops). Further hydrogen bonds mediate the characteristic L-shaped molecular structure. tRNAs have two regions of fundamental functional importance: the anti-codon, which is responsible for specific mRNA codon recognition, and the 3' end, to which the tRNAs corresponding amino acid is attached (by aminoacyl-tRNA synthetases). tRNAs cope with the degeneracy of the genetic code in two manners: having more than one tRNA (with a specific anti-codon) for a particular amino acid; and 'wobble' base-pairing, i.e. permitting non-standard base-pairing at the 3rd anti-codon position.
Source: RNAcentral
GGGCUCAUAGCGCAGUCUGGUAGCGCGAGUGGCUCUUAACCACUAGGUCCAGGGUUCGAAUCCCUGUGGGCCCA